RNAcentral lists this unclassified non-coding RNA (211 nucleotides) under plant metagenome. RNAcentral's name for it is "partial contains small subunit ribosomal RNA, internal transcribed spacer 1, and 5.8S ribosomal RNA". The record is from RNAcentral.
UUUCCGUAGGUGAACCUGCGGAAGGAUCAUUCAUAAUAAAGUGUUUUAUGGCACUUUUUAAAAAUCCAUAUCCACCUUGUGUGCAAUGUUAGAUCUCGUCAAACUUGGCGAGAUUUUUAUACAUCAACUCAUUCUUUAACUAAUUUGUCUGAAGAAUGUUAUGAAUACUUAAUUCAAAAUACAACUUUCAACAACGGAUCUCUUGGCUCCC